RNAcentral lists this ribosomal RNA (484 nucleotides) under uncultured bacterium. RNAcentral describes it as "partial 16S ribosomal RNA". It matches the Rfam family "Bacterial small subunit ribosomal RNA", at positions 30 to 507 of the family's 1533-position model. The record is from RNAcentral.
AUUGAACGCUGGCGGCAGGCCUAACACAUGCAAGUCGAGCGGAUGAAGGGAGCUUGCUCCUGGAUUCAGCGGCGGACGGGUGAGUAAUGCCUAGGAAUCUGCCUGGUAGUGGGGGAUAACGUCCGGAAACGGGCGCUAAUACCGAAUACGUCCUGAGGGAGAAAGCGGGGGAUCUUCGGACCUCACGCUAUCAGAUGAGCCUAGGUCGGAUUAGCUAGUUGGUGGGGUAAAGGCCUACCAAGGCGACGAUCCGUAACUGGUCUGAGAGGAUGAUCAGUCACACUGGAACUGAGACACGGUCCAGACUCCUACGGGAGGCAGCAGUGGGGAAUAUUGGACAAUGGGCGAAAGCCUGAUCCAGCCAUGCCGCGUGUGUGAAGAAGGUCUUCGGAUUGUAAAGCACUUUAAGUUGGGAGGAAGGGCAGUAAGUUAAUACCUUGCUGUUUUGACGUUACCAACAGAAUAAGCACCGGCUAACUUCGUG